AUGAAGUUCACCUUAUGGAUAAAUAAAAAUGCAGAGCUGUCUGAAUGGUCACCUGGUGCAGAGAUGGGGGUGGCACACGGGGCAUUUGGCCAUGCAUGCGGCACAGCCAAUGUCACAGAAAUGUCCAAAACCACAAAGACAUGUCCAACAUUGCGAGGUGCACAGGGAAUUCUCUUUUAUGAAUUCAGCAAGGACUUAGGACAAGCUGCCAACCUAGUGGGGCUGGAGAGAUCUAUUCAGGUUAGGGAUGACGUAUUGCUCAUGAGCUACAUGUUGAUUGAGAAUCAGUUUGAGGUAGCUGCUGGGGCUGCUGAUAACUCCUUGAAGACAGAGGGCAUGGCCAAAGAGUCACCACCUAGAACAGGCAGCUGUUCCUUUACUAUUAUAUGGUGCAUUAUAUGCCUGUGCAUGACUGACACUUCUGGUUUCUUUUAUUUUGUCUCUGGUACAUGUUGUCAUUUCCUGAGAACUCUAAUGCUUCAGUCCAACAAGUCUUCAGGGUUUAACAUCGUGUAUCUGGAAAAUGGGACACAUUUAGAAUUACAGCAGACUGACAAAACACCUUUUGACUGAAUGAAAUGGUGACAUGGCUGAGUAGCUUGCCCUGCCCCUCCUCACCUACAAGAGCAAUACAUGUCUUUUGAGGGAAGAAGUUGCCCUAAUUUUGGAGACUAAACAGGACUGCUUAGCCCAUAGACCUAGGUCUGUCAACUACUAUCUACGUGUGCACAUCAGAAUAUGUAAAUAUAUGCUUCCACAAAAUGAGAAAAUGUUGUAUUUUGUGAACUGCAGGAAGAAGAGUACUUUGGCCCAUAUACAGUUCACAGAUCUGAAAGUUCCCCUGAUCUGGAAUAGUCAUGUCUUUCACAAAAUACAGAUAGUAUGUACCUUAACAUGUUUCUGUCUGGUAACACCAUCUUGCUUACAGGUUGCAGUGCUCCUAUGGGAGCCAAGGUGCAAAUAUCCCCCAAAGAAAAAAAAAUAUUCUCUAUCUCUCAAUCCCUGAACAAUAAGCUACUGCCUAGACAGCUGCUAGCAACACUAACACUACUGCUCUGUAUUAAGUGAGGUAGCAUGUGACUUUUUUGUGUGUGUGUGAAUUGCAAUUAAGCAGGUAUGUUCCAAAGAUGAAUUUGAUCAAAACUUAUGCCAGACCCGUUCAGGUCAGUUGGAAGAAAUCACAGAAUCACAGAAUGGUUUGAGUUAGAAGGGACCUUAAUGAUCAUCUAAUUCCAACCCCCCUGCCAUGGGCAGGGCACCUCCCACUAGAUCAGGUUACCCAAAGCCCCAUCCAGCCUGGGCCUGAACACCUCCAGGAAUGGGGCAUUCACAGCUUCUCUGGGCAACCUGUGCCAGGGCCUCACCAGCCUCUGAGUAAAGAAUUUCUGCUGAGUAUCUAAUCUAAGCCUACCCUCUUUUAGUUUAAAGCCGUCACCCCUUGUCCUAUCACUCUACUCCCUGACAAAAAGUCCCUCCCCAGCUUUUCUGUAGGCCCCCUUUAGGUAGUGGAAGGCUGCUACAGGAUUUCCCUGAAGCCUUCUGUUCUCCAGGCUAAACAACCUCAACUCUCUCAGCCUGUCUUCAUAGGAGAGGUGCUCCAGCCCUCUGAUCAACUCCUCUGGACUUGUUAUAAUAGGUCCAUGAACCUGGAAAUUAAUAGGAAAUUAACAUUGUAGCCUGUAAUUCAUCUAACACCCAAUGUUUUCACAGAGGAAUGCCAAUCAAUAUGUCUCAGCAUAAAUCCAAAUAAUGUAGAUAUUUUAAGUCACUUAAUUUUCUGUAUUCUCAGGUAGUUAGGGAGGACUUACAUGCCUUAGAAGCUCUUUGAUUCUAGCCCCAUGUGUGGAAAUGUAAUCUGAAUUUUCUUUGUCAUAGGAUAGAUAUUUCACAACUCUAAUAUUCAAAAAGAAAAGCUCAUGGAAUCAUGAAGUAAUAAAUUAAUUGAAAAAUUUUUAUAUGUACUUACA
This 1967-nucleotide long non-coding RNA is filed under the name Anas platyrhynchos platyrhynchos (common mallard). RNAcentral describes it as "lncRNA (ENSAPLG00000029090.1)". Lineage: Eukaryota; Metazoa; Chordata; Aves; Anseriformes; Anatidae. The record is from RNAcentral.